CUCCAAUUAUAAUAAUGUUAUACAGUCCACUGAAAUUAUAAUUUUGAUUUAUAUGUUUACUCAACUAUCAUUUAAUGUCUAGGGUUGGAGUUGUAACCUGUCAGGCUCCAACUAUGGCCACAACGAAAGUUACUCAUGUAAUGCUAAAUUCCGGCCAACUGAUACCGACAAUAGGCUUCGGUACCGGAGCACUACCUAUGCCACCGCCUGAACAACUAACAUCCAUAUUUAUCGAAGCCAUCGAGGCCGGCUAUCGCCACUUUGACACGGCAGCCUCCUAUGGCACGGAGGAGUGCGUAGGCCGAGCAGUGGCUGCGGCACUGGACCGUGGCCUAAUCAAGAGCCGGAACGAAGUGUUUGUCACUUCUAAAUUGUCAAUAUAUGAUACUCACCAUGAUCUUGUUUUGCCUGCCCUCAAAGAAACGCUCAGGUACUCGUAUUUUCAUUCCUUUUUUCACCAAUGAAUUGAAUCCCAUAAUAAAUAUUAACUUCAGAUAAUAAGAAUCCCUUACAAUAACAGUUAUACAAUAUAGGGUUUGCAAUUACAUUUGAAAGAAUCAGAAAAUUACAGGGAAGAAGUUUGUUACAAUUCAUGCCCCGUGGAGGAACCGGAAGUGGGAUGGACUACAUGGUCCGCGCCUUACUUCCCGAAAACUCCGAUGAGGCAGGAGAAGGGCCGGUCCGUUACCAUCCGCAGAAUUUACGGAUAUGUGGAUCUAUUGCUGCAAUCAAUUCCAAGAAUAAAGGGCGAAUUACCAAAUAGCUUUGAUUCUGAUGCUGUGUAGUUCUUCUGGUAUAAAUUGUUGGGAAAUUAAAAAAAAGAUAUCAUCAAAAUAUGUGGUUAGCCCGGCUUGUAAUCGCAAUUUUAUGUGGAAACCAGAAGGAAUACACAGCAGGGCAGCAGCCUUAUUCCUUAACUAGCUGCAGUAUUUUAUCAUGUAACAAACUGAUAAGGUUGGACUCAAAUUAAAUUUUGUUUCUAAAAAUUUUGUAAACAACUAAUUCUAGAACCAAGAUAACAAAGGGCCAGAACUACGUCUCUUGUAAGCCUAAUAUAGGAUUAUUUAUUUAUUUAUUAUUUAUUUUUUUUAAUGAAGUUUUAAUUGACAUAUGUUGUAGGAAACUGGGGCAUUCAUUUUUUGUUGCCAAAUUGAAAAAUCUCAUUUUCAAUUGAAAAUUUGAACUUCGAAAUGUGAAGACGUUUUGCAGAAAAAAACCAAAGUGCACAAAUAGGUUACACAAAAUAAUCCUAAAGUCGCAAUAUACACAUUUCUAAAUUCUCAAGGUUUCAUAAGAUUCGUAAUUUUAAAUCAAGGAAAUUUUUAAACUUGUCAAGUCUAGAUGUUCUAACAGAAUAUUCAAUGCAACUCAAAGGUAUGUCAACAAAAAAAAUAAAAAAAUAAAAAAAAUAAUAAAAAAAAUUCAACUUCUCAUGCAAUGUAGUCUCACAUAGUGACUAGAUGGUAACUAAAGCACAAAAGCAAUUACCAACUUGCAGCUAAAUUAACACUUUAUAUAGAGCAAAUAAUUCCUAAACUUUUAGCAUAAACAAUGUUACCCACACAGUAACCACAAUCCUAAUGCCAUCCCACAUGAUGACGCGCUAAUGUUGAAAUUUGAAUUGAGAUAAACCAAUAUACUAAAACGGACCAAUCUGAGUCUAUAAAUUACGAGAGAUGCGAAUCUAUCACGUUAGGACCACCACUAUUUGUCCUCAAGCCUCCAGCAAUCGCAUGAAUCAAUCACCACAAUCAAAUUUCGAUCGUGCGAAGAAUAGAGUCAUCCAUAUUACGCUCUAUAACCUGAAACAGUAAACUAACAACACUAAAAUGUCAGAAAUGAUGCUAGGAAUAAACUGCCUGAAGAUACCUCUUCGAGAUUCGGCCCUACGCCCCUCAUGCGCCUUUAACCCUCUUUGCGCGUGGGCUUCACAAGCUGCCACACACGCCAGCAAUCAAUCUCACGACCAGUAACCAUAGUGCGCCUCUACCUGCACGUCACGUCGAUGGUCUCUGUUUCACCAAACGCCUUUUGGAUUUGCCGAAAAUCGUGAAAAUAAUCUCAAUUUUUGGGCAGUUUUGGACAGAUUACGAUCUGAGUUUUUUGCUUCGUUUCUGUCAGUUUCCUGGAUGUUUUUUUUGUAUGUUUCACAAGCCAAAUCCACCACCUUGAAGCUCUGAUACCAAUUGUCACGGAAGCUUGCUCCAAGGAUAAUCAAAACAGUGUUUUGGGGGCUCAGUACAAUGUUACAUUUCUUUACCAAAUAAUCAAUUCAACCGGCUCCAAUCCAUAAUCUAUAUAUUCAUCUCGAUUACUUCUCAAUCUCACCCAAAGAACAAGACAGUGGUCAUGAUUUGUAACCAAGAAAACAUCACAAAGAAGGUAAGGAAGAGACCACAAACACGAAGUUAAUCACUAGUUUUUUGGACACAAAGGCAACCGAUUUCUCUCUUCUAUGGCAGCUAAUUUUUUCUCCUCUUCACAUAUACAAAUCAUCAACAGCUAGGGCAAGAAAGGGGGCUAUAUAUAUAGGCUAGAUUAGGCUUUUAGUUGGACCAAUAACAAGAUUAAAUGAAUCAAGAUUCAAAGUCAUCCAAGAGAUAAUAUGAAUGGGUCGAGUAGAGUCUUUAAACUUGAUUGUUGGUACUUAUUUAAUCAUCAGCCAAGACCUAUGAUAUGUAUAUUCCUAGAUUAAUAUCAUAGUCCAGGAUUUAUUGUGUAUGAAAACCAAACAAUUUUUUAUACUAAAAAUUUCAAAUUCAUAUAACAACUUUACUAGAACGGUUUUCAUGGCUGUAAGUUAUAUAAAAACAUAUUAUUCUCUUCUUCUAGUCAAUUGUUUUUCGAUAAUUUUCAUGUGCGGUCAUUGAACUUAUAGCCAAAUUGCAAUUGGAUCACUAAACUUUAAUUGGCUUAAUUUAGUUCCCUAAACUUCAAUUCAAUUCCAAAUUUCACCAUUUUCAUAUUUAGUCACCUAUAUUCCCCCAAAAAUAACAAAAAUUGCUCAGGGAAAGUCAAAUCAUACAUGAUUUUUCAUGUCAUCGUGAUGUGGCACCCUAGAAUCGAAAAUGGUCUAAGGAAUGUUAUGACAAUUUUUUUUAGAUUAAAAGAGGCAAUUUUAUUUAUUUAUUUAAAAAAAAAAGCAAUUGCAUUGUGAGAAAUUAAAAACUCCAUGCAGCAUGCAGAAAAUCUCGUUGUAACAUUCUAUCGAGAUAACAAUUUCGAUGAAUUUAGGAUCGUUGAUGAGAUUCAAACAUAAUUUGAAAUUGAAUGACCUAAUCGAGUUCCGUGACUCAAUUGAGACUUGGCCGAAAUAUCGGUGUUCGCAUAAGAAAAUGGACCCAUUAUGUUUCUGACACUAAAAAGACAACCACUGUCCUUCCUGUCUUCUAAUGGCCUAAAAAACCAAAUAUGUUGAUGCCAAUUCCAAUCGACACUAACCCUAAAACUAAUCCACUCCAAUUAUAAUAAUGUUAUACAGUCCACUGAAAUUAUAAUUUUGAUUUAUAUGUUUACUCAACUAUCAUUUAAUGUCUAGGGUUGGAGUUGUAACCUGUCAGGCUCCAACUAUGGCCACAACGAAAGUUACUCAUGUAAUGCUAAAUUCCGGCCAACUGAUACCGACAAUAGGCUUCGGUACCGGAGCACUACCUAUGCCACCGCCUGAACAACUAACAUCCAUAUUUAUCGAAGCCAUCGAGGCCGGCUAUCGCCACUUUGACACGGCAGCCUCCUAUGGCACGGAGGAGUGCGUAGGCCGAGCAGUGGCUGCGGCACUGGACCGUGGCCUAAUCAAGA
RNAcentral lists this long non-coding RNA (3798 nucleotides) under Olea europaea (common olive). RNAcentral's name for it is "long non-coding RNA (OEUR_LNC010834)". The record is from RNAcentral. Lineage: Eukaryota; Viridiplantae; Streptophyta; Magnoliopsida; Lamiales; Oleaceae.